Molecule: ribosomal RNA, 391 nt
Filed under: uncultured Chrysophyceae
Lineage: Eukaryota; Chrysophyceae
Description: partial small subunit ribosomal RNA
Rfam family: Eukaryotic small subunit ribosomal RNA
Source: RNAcentral
GCUUGUCUCAAAGAUUAAGCCAUGCAUGUCUAAGUGUAAAUACGUCUACACUGUGAAACUGCGAAUGGCUCAUUAAAUCAGUUAUCGUUUAUUUGAUGAUCUCUUGUUACAUGGAUAACCGUAGUAAUUCUAGAGCUAAUACAUGCAUGAACCCCCGACUUUUGAAGGGGUGUAUUUAUUAGAUUGAAACCAAUGCGGGUUCCCCGGUAUUUGGUGAUUCAUAAUAACUUUCGGAUCGACUUCGGUCGAUGCAUCAUUCAAGUUUCUGCCCUAUCAGCUUUCGAUGGUAGUGUAUUGGACUACCAUGGCAGUAACGGGUAACGAAGAAUUAGGGUUCGAUUUCGGAGAGGGAGCAUGAGAAACGGCUACCACAUCUAAGGAAGGCAGCAGG